CCCUUAGAUGUUCUGGGCCGCACGCGCGCUACACUGUUUGAUUCAGCGAGUCUUAACCUUGACCGAAAGGUUUGGGUAAUCUUCUAAAGUCAAACGUGAUGGGGAUCGAUCAUUGCAAUUAUUGAUCGUGAAUGAGGAAUUCCUAGUAAAUGCAAGUCAUCAGCUUGCGUUGAUUACGUCCCUGCCCUUUGUACACACCGCCCGUCGCUACUACCGAUUGAAUGGUUUAGUGAGAUCUCCGGAUUGGCUCUGUAGGUCCCGCAAGGGAUUUAUUAGUAGCCAAGAAGCUGCUCAAACUUGAUCAUUUAGAGGAAGUAAAAGUCGUAACA
RNAcentral lists this ribosomal RNA (329 nucleotides) under uncultured eukaryote. RNAcentral describes it as "partial 18S ribosomal RNA". It matches the Rfam family "Eukaryotic small subunit ribosomal RNA", at positions 1470 to 1796 of the family's 1831-position model. The record is from RNAcentral.